Molecule: ribosomal RNA, 254 nt
Filed under: uncultured bacterium
Lineage: Bacteria
Description: partial 16S ribosomal RNA
Rfam family: Bacterial small subunit ribosomal RNA
Source: RNAcentral
UACGUAGGGUGCAAGCGUUGUCCGGAAUUAUUGGGCGUAAAGAGCUCGUAGGCGGUUCGUCGCGUCGGCUGUGAAAACCUGGGGCUCAACUCUGGGCGUGCGGUCGAUACGGGCAUCACUUGAGUUCGGCAGGGGAGACUGGAAUUCCUGGUGUAGCGGUGAAAUGCGCAGAUAUCAGGAGGAACACCGGUGGCGAAGGCGGGUCUCUGGGCCGAUACUGACGCUGAGGAGCGAAAGCAUGGGUAGCGAACAGG